Pterocles gutturalis (yellow-throated sandgrouse) is the source of this 46-nucleotide regulatory RNA element. It matches the Rfam family "Histone 3' UTR stem-loop". Rfam says of the family: The mRNAs of metazoan histone genes lack a poly-A tail. NCBI's taxonomy places the organism in Eukaryota, Metazoa, Chordata, Aves, Pterocliformes, Pteroclidae. The record is from Rfam.
ACAAAGGCUCUUUUGAGAGCCACCCACAUAUUGCACAGUGAGAGCU